RNAcentral lists this ribosomal RNA (253 nucleotides) under uncultured bacterium. RNAcentral's name for it is "partial 16S ribosomal RNA". It matches the Rfam family "Bacterial small subunit ribosomal RNA", at positions 524 to 776 of the family's 1533-position model. The record is from RNAcentral. RNAcentral also lists the same sequence under 2 other names.
UACGAGAGGUCCAAACGUUAUUCGGAAUCACUGGGCUUACAGAGUUCGUAGGCGGUACGGAAAGUGGGGUGUGAAAGCCCUCGGCUCAACCGAGGAACUGCGCUCCAAACUACCGUGCUAGAGGAAGAUAGAGGUGAGCAGAACUGAUGGUGGAGCGGUGAAAUGCGUUGAUAUCAUCAGGAAUACCGGAGGCGAAGGCGGCUCACUGGGUCUUUUCUGACGCUGAGGAACGAAAGCUAGGGGAGCAAACGGG